Neomonachus schauinslandi (Hawaiian monk seal) is the source of this 128-nucleotide small nucleolar RNA. RefSeq annotates it as small nucleolar RNA SNORA24. The record is from RefSeq and is a predicted model, not a curated record. The transcript has a single exon. NCBI's taxonomy places the organism in Eukaryota, Metazoa, Chordata, Mammalia, Carnivora, Phocidae.
AUUGACCUUUUCUAAACUGGUCAGCUGUGGCAGUCUUCCUUCCUAGCCAUGGAAAGGCAUAUUCUUGUUUAUUGGCAAAGCUGUACCCUUUUAAUGGGGAGCCGAUUCUGACUUUCACAGGUAACCUC